GACUCUCUCGGAAUCAUCAGAACAGUAUCUUGGAUGCCAUGAUCCAGAUAUUCCAAUAGUUGAAUGAUACCUCGACUGAACCUAAGACUUUCUGAAAAUUAGCAGAACAAUGUCUUGAAUUUAACACACGAGAUUCUCUGAGGAUCAACGAAACAAUACCUUACAUGAUAUAAUCGAGAUAUUCCAUCAAGGGAAUGAUACCUCAACCGUAUCAAAGACUCUCCG
This 225-nucleotide long non-coding RNA is filed under the name Lathyrus oleraceus (garden pea). Its description in RNAcentral is "Pisum sativum (pea) long non-coding RNA (PSAT_LNC017628)". Lineage: Eukaryota; Viridiplantae; Streptophyta; Magnoliopsida; Fabales; Fabaceae. The record is from RNAcentral.